AUUAUUCCUUUUGCCUGGAAUGCUCUUCAUUCAAGCCUUGGCCAAAGGUCACCUCUUCAGAGAAGUCUUCCUGACUCCUCUGUGUGUGUAAAAGUGUUCCCCUCAGCCCUGUCUCUUCAUUGUGCUUUACUUUUUUCAAGAUUAAUGCAUGCAUGAUUUGGAUACUACAUCGUGAGAGAAGAGAUUUGUUAAAUUUCUUUUGCCUUGGGAAAGUUAAGGAUCACAGAUAAUCCAAACCUCAGUGCCAAGUCCUCUGAUUUACAAUCGAGGAGUUAUUCACACAGAGGGCCUCCGUGCAGCUGCUGCAGCCCGAGGAGUGCACCCCCCGCCCCAGCACCCCCAGAGGCACCAUCAGAACACACAGCACGGGCCCGGAUCAGUUCCCUAUACACCCCGGCGCUUUAUUUUAAGCUGCAUGUGAA
Bubalus bubalis (water buffalo) is the source of this 422-nucleotide long non-coding RNA. RefSeq lists it as uncharacterized. The transcript is spliced from 3 exons. Lineage: Eukaryota; Metazoa; Chordata; Mammalia; Artiodactyla; Bovidae. The record is from RefSeq and is a predicted model, not a curated record.